UAUGAUGCAGGCCUUACUAGGUGCAG
RNAcentral lists this non-coding RNA (26 nucleotides) under Mus musculus (house mouse). Lineage: Eukaryota; Metazoa; Chordata; Mammalia; Rodentia; Muridae. The record is from RNAcentral.